GACGAACGCUGGCGGCGUGCUUAACACAUGCAAGUCGAACGGUGAAGGGACCAGCUUGCUGGUUCUGGAUGAGUGGCGAACGGGUGAGUAACACGUGAGUAACCUGCCCCCUUCUUCUGGAUAACCGCAUGAAAGUGUGGCUAAUACGGGAUAUUCUGGGUCUGUCGCAUGGCGGGCCCGGGAAAGAUAUUGCUUCGGUGGGGGAUGGGCUCGCGGCCUAUCAGCUUGUUGGUGGGGUGAUGGCCUACCAAGGCGGUGCCGGGUAGCCGGCCUGAGAGGGUGGACGGUCACACUGGGACUGAGACACGGCCCAGACUGCUACGGGAGGCAGCAGUGGGGAAUAUUGCACAAUGGGCGCAAGCCUGAUGCAGCGACGCCGCGUGAGGGAGGGAGGCCUUCGGGUUGUAAACCUCUUUCGCCAGUGAAGCAGGCCUGCUCCUUGUGGGUGGGUUGACGGUAGCUGGAUAAGAAGCGCCGGCUAACUACGUG
Molecule: ribosomal RNA, 489 nt
Filed under: uncultured bacterium
Lineage: Bacteria
Description: partial 16S ribosomal RNA
Rfam family: Bacterial small subunit ribosomal RNA
Source: RNAcentral